AUGAAGCCGGAAUUGCUAGUAAUGGCAGGUCAGCAUACUGCCGUGAAUACGUUCCCGGGCCUUGUACACACCGCCCGUCACACCAUGAGAGUUGGGGAUACCCGAAGCCUGUGAGCCAACAGUUAAAUGAGGCAGCAGUCGAAGGUAGAAUCAAUGAUUGGGGUGAAGUCGUAACAAGGUAAC
RNAcentral lists this ribosomal RNA (183 nucleotides) under uncultured bacterium. RNAcentral describes it as "partial 16S ribosomal RNA". It matches the Rfam family "Bacterial small subunit ribosomal RNA", at positions 1320 to 1500 of the family's 1533-position model. The record is from RNAcentral.